AAGAAACAAAACUAGUCCAUGGGAAGAAAAGCAUUGGGACGAAAAUAAAAACUGAGUCCAGGCAUCUUCGAGCGGUUCUUGUGGGAAAAAACCUUGAUAUUACUUAGAGUGAGGCCUCCUAGUAGUUAUCUGGGAAUUUUCGGGACGUUUCUCACAUGGUUAAAAAUCGGCAGAUUUUCGGUAUGGUAAAGCCUUGGCCAUUUUUGGACCGUUUUUGGCGCAACCGUUGUGCACCCCGAACGAGCCCCACCCGACCCCUAGGCCCUGGGCUUUUUUUCUGUGUCAUACUGGGUGCAAUAUAGAUGGGUUUCCACACCUAUCCGCGGGCUAUCAUCGGCCUAAAUAGGUUGCACAAGAUCAAAGAAGCACAACUAGUCCAUGGGAAGAAAAGCAUUGGGACGAAAAUAAAAACUGAGUCCGGGCAUCUUCGAGCGGUUCUUGUGGCAAAAAAACCUUGAUAUUACUCAGAGUGAAGCCUCCUAGUAGUUAUCUGUGAAUUUUCGGGACGGUUCUCACAUGGUUAAAAAUCGGCCGAUUUUCGAGUAUAGUAAAGCCUUGGCCAUUUUUGGACCGUUUUUUGCGCAACCGUUGUGCACCCCGAACGAGCCCUAGGCCCUGGGCUUUUUUUAUGUGUCAUACUGGGUGCAAUAUAGAUGGGUUUCCACACCUAUCCGCGGGCUAUCAUCGGCCUAAAUAGGUUGCACAAGAUCGAAGAAGCACAACUAGUCCAUGGGAAGAAAAGCAUUGGGACGAAAAUAAAAACUGAGUCGGGCAUUUUCCGAGCGGUUCUUUGUGGAAAAAC
Molecule: long non-coding RNA, 802 nt
Filed under: Cucumis sativus (cucumber)
Lineage: Eukaryota; Viridiplantae; Streptophyta; Magnoliopsida; Cucurbitales; Cucurbitaceae
Description: long non-coding RNA (CSAT_LNC001744)
Source: RNAcentral